Long non-coding RNA from Sarcophilus harrisii (Tasmanian devil), 2007 nucleotides. RefSeq lists it as uncharacterized. The transcript has 2 exons. The record is from RefSeq and is a predicted model, not a curated record. NCBI's taxonomy places the organism in Eukaryota, Metazoa, Chordata, Mammalia, Dasyuromorphia, Dasyuridae.
CCUCUCAAUUUCAUCAUUUUUUUUUAAAGACAUAAAUUGAUUUUUAUUACCCAGAACUUUGUUGGAAUUUUUGCUAAUCACCAGAGUAAUCUUUAAGUUAGAUACAAAUCUAUCAGCAAUGAGUUCUAGGUAAUAAAAACAUAAUCCUUAACAGUAAUUAUCCUGAAUUAAGUUGCAUUCCUAUAAAGAUAGUAUUGGAUUAUUUCUGCAAGGUCUGCUUAUAUUUAAAAUAGAUUAACUCAUAGCUUUUUUUCCCCACCAUAUAUUUUAUGGAGAACUCACACAGGGCAAGUGCUUACAAGGUGGUCAGAAAAAGUGAUUCAAGAACACUCCCAGAAUCUCUCUUAAGAUCUUUAAAAUUAAUUGUAUGACAUGAGAAACCCUAGCAUAGAAGUGCCCAGCAUGGUUUGUUCUCAGAGAAAGUACUGCACUCUAUGAGAAAGCAGAAUUGAAGUUGCUCAGAGGAAAUAUGAGAUGCACACAUUUAGAGUAUCCAAUCUGUGGUAGAGCAUUCCUAGCUCAUAUUUGUCUAAUCAGUCAGUUGGACAUACUGUAACUCAAUUUUAACAUAAUGAUGUCUUUUUGGCGCUCCUUGACAAAGGACAUAGCAUAGGGAAGAGAGGACGAUGGAUGAAGAGAGCUAAAGGAAAGAAGCAGGUCUCUUCUACUUGCUUAGUUACUUAGCAACUUAGUGAGUAGAAGUAGGUCAGCAACAAGUAGGGGAGAGAACCUCAGAAUUUCUGAGCCACCAGAAGGAAAGGAAAUAAAAAUAGAAACAGCUUUUAGUUCCCUUGCUUAGCUGCAAGGCAGGAGAAUAGUGAUAGAACAGAGCCACCAGGUGGUUUUUCUCUUGACAGCACUCAGGCAAGAGAGAGUGGAGCCAAUUUGCUGCUUCUUUCUGGGGAGGGACAAACCAAGACAGUGACAGGAGGAAAUUCUGAUCCAGGGUCCAAAAUCUACAAGUUCUGCUUACAUUUCUGGUUAUACUAGGUUGUGCACUCAAUCAUUUCCCUUCUCUACUUUUCAUAGAGUAAAUACAGUGCUUAUCUGUAUUAGAAAUAGUAUCUGUCCAAAUUGAAAGCUGUGCAAACAGAUGUGUCAGGAAUUGUGCUAGGUACCUGACAUACAAAUAUAGCAAAUGAAACUUUUCCUAGUUCCUAGUUGAACUGGGUUUAUACUGUAGCAAAGGAGACAAAAAGAACACAUAAGUAAAUACCUACAAAAUAAAUACAAAAAGAACGAAUGCAAAUUAAUAUGAAGUAAUGAUGUACAAAGAAGGGGGAUAAUUGAUGGAAAGAUACAGAGAUGUGAAAUGGGAGCCUUGAGGAACAGAAAAUGGCAAUUUGGCUAGGUUAAAGAGUAUUGUCAAAUUAGGAUGAAAAAAGAAGGGCCGGGCUAGGCGGUGAAAAACUUCUAAAUGGAGGGAUUUUUAGCUUUAAAAGCUAAACAGAAGUAAAAAAGUUUAUUGAGUUAAGUAAGACACAGUCAUACUGUAAGGAAAAUCACCUUUGAAGCAGUAUACAGGAUAGAUUGAAGUAGGGAGACACUUUAGACAAUUAUGACAUCAGUUUAGGAACGAGGUGGUGAGGACUUGAGGUUAUAAAUACCUGAACUAAGGUGGUGACUGUAUGGAGAUUAGAUAAGAAAUGUUUUGAAAGUAGAAAAGGAAAGAUUUGGCAGUUGAUUGUAUAUGUGGGGUGAGAGAGAGGAUUCGAGAAUAAUGCCAUGGUUGUGUUGAGGGGGAGAAAUGUUGAGAGGAUUUUUGAUCCUUACCCCGCAACCUGUCAGAACCGAAUUAUGGUCCAUUCCUGGAAGUCUCACUCACCCGAGCUCUAACCCCACCCUGCUGUAUUCCCCUGAUGGCUGGAGCUCUAUAAGAAUCCCUGGAAUCCAUCACAUGCUGCUGGAUGCUUUGAGACACAAGUCCAAUUCAGCUGCUGGGGCUAACAUGGAUCCUGUUUUGCACCCACCACAGUCUCUCCCUCUCAAAUAAAAUAUUAAAAACUC